CGCUACUACCGAUUGAAUGGCUCAGUGAGGCCUUCGGACUGGCUCAGGGAGGUCGGCAACGACCACCCAGAGCCGGAAAGUUGGUCAAACUCGGUCAUUUAGAGGAAGUAAAAGUCGUAACAAGGUCUCCGUAGGUGAACCUGCGGAGGGAUCAUUA
RNAcentral lists this ribosomal RNA (157 nucleotides) under Ramularia leonuri. RNAcentral describes it as "partial 18S ribosomal RNA". It matches the Rfam family "Eukaryotic small subunit ribosomal RNA", at positions 1677 to 1831 of the family's 1831-position model. The record is from RNAcentral. Lineage: Eukaryota; Fungi; Ascomycota; Dothideomycetes; Mycosphaerellales; Mycosphaerellaceae.